This 465-nucleotide ribosomal RNA is filed under the name uncultured Klebsiella sp. RNAcentral describes it as "bacterial SSU rRNA". It matches the Rfam family "Bacterial small subunit ribosomal RNA", at positions 338 to 795 of the family's 1533-position model. The record is from RNAcentral. Lineage: Bacteria; Pseudomonadati; Pseudomonadota; Gammaproteobacteria; Enterobacterales; Enterobacteriaceae.
CCUACGGGCGGCUGCAGUGGGGAAUAUUGCACAGUGGGCGCAAGCCUGAUGCAGCCAUGCCGCGUGUGUGAAGAAGGCCUUCGGGUUGUAAAGCACUUUCAGCGGGGAGGAAGGCGGUGAGGUUAAUAACCUCAUCGAUUGACGUUACCCGCAGAAGAAGCACCGGCUAACUCCGUGCCAGCAGCCGCGGUAAUACGGAGGGUGCAAGCGUUAAUCGGAAUUACUGGGCGUAAAGCGCACGCAGGCGGUCUGUCAAGUCGGAUGUGAAAUCCCCGGGCUCAACCUGGGAACUGCAUUCGAAACUGGCAGGCUAGAGUCUUGUAGAGGGGGGUAGAAUUCCAGGUGUAGCGGUGAAAUGCGUAGAGAUCUGGAGGAAUACCGGUGGCGAAGGCGGCCCCCUGGACAAAGACUGACGCUCAGGUGCGAAAGCGUGGGGAGCAAACAGGAUUAGAUACCCGGGUAGUC